AAAAAGAUAAGCUAAAAUUAAGCUUAUGGGCUCAUACCCCAUCUAUGAAGACUACUUCUCUUUUUA
Molecule: transfer RNA, 66 nt
Filed under: Mirocaris indica
Lineage: Eukaryota; Metazoa; Arthropoda; Malacostraca; Decapoda; Alvinocarididae
Description: tRNA-Met
Source: RNAcentral